CUUCAAAUCAAAUGGUCCGCAGAACUACCUCCUCCUGCAUGGCCCCCUCUGUGGUCAGCCUUCUCUGCAUAGCCCUGGUGUUUACUUACGUUAAUAUUCUCUGGCCUCUUCUGACUGGAUGCUUUGAUAUGAUGCCAGGAUUCCUUACCCCUUCCUAGAGCACACAUGUGGGAUUUCAGGCCCAGCAACCCCCUCACAUCUAAGACUAUAGCAUCGUGGAGUCAGCACCCACAGUCCACCAGGGCUGGCACCCACCAGGGCUGGCAUCCACCAGGGCUGGCAUCCACCAGUGCUGGCAUCUACCAGGGCUGGCACCCACCAGGGCUGCAUCCACCAGGGCUGGCACCCUCAUGUCCGAGGGCAGAAGCCAAUGAAGCAAUAUUCUGAGGGAAUGCUGCCUGGUCUCCUUAGUGACAUAUUUUCUUUCCAGAUAGCCAUGCCCCAAAUAAACCAUCUAGAGAUACUGCUUUUCAGCACAUGCCACACAGAGGGUGGUCGGUAGAUACAGGACGAGGCCUGUCUUCUGUGCCACUAUUCCUCCCUGUAGACCCUGAUGGGCUGUGAGUCUUGGACCCAAACCAUGCUGAAGGGACAGUAAGAGACCCACUGCAGCCCCUUCUCUAUCCCGCUGCAGCUGUUGGCUGAGAGUUGUGGGUAACCUGGCCUUCUGAUGCCUUCCUUUACCACUGUUCCUUCUCUGGUAGCCGAGGUGUUUUAUUUUGGUUUGCUCCCCCCACCCUUAAAAAAUUCUAGCCAGCGUUGAAGUCAGCAAAGUAUUUGUGAAAUGAAAGUGACAUCUUGCUGCUCUGUUUACUAACUGCAAGUUUCAGCUUCAAAGCAGGGUGACACACUCGAUUCCUUUUGCUCUGCCCACAAACCCUGACAUUUUCAAAUAGAAAAAAGAUAGAAACAAGAUAGAACAUCUGAAAAGUCCUGAAAUGUGUUUUGCAGGAAUAGCUCUGAGCUCUAUCAAAGCAUCAUGGUGGGCAAGACCAAGGGGUGUCGUGUGACUCCUCAAAGCCACCCCACGCUGUGAGCAGUUAGUUGGCUUUGCAUCACUACAGUGAAACGCUGCUUACAGUCAUUCGGGGGUUUGGUGUCCUUGAAGCUUUGUGGGUGUGGGCCGUAAGAGAAAGUGACUGGUUGAGGCAGGAGCACAUUUGAAACGUAGCAUGAGCAGAAAGCAGAGAGAGGAUGAAAUCAGGGUGCCACAGUUCCCAGGGACUCAAGGACCUCCUGUUGGGCCUCUUCCCAAACUCCCAUAGCAGCUCCUAGCACAGCUAUCAGGACCUCAAUGAACCCUUGGGUACAGUCAUCAGCCAGCCAUAUUAGUCUCAUUAGUAAACAUGAAAGAAUUAGAAUUGGUUUGUAGAAGCUCUUGAAUGGUAGCCAUGCAACACACUUCCAACAGAAUGAUUAAACACAUAGGCUUAAGGUAUGGCCGGACUUAAACUCAAAAGCCCUGAAAAGGUGGCCUCUGUUUCUCCUUCCUGUGUAAGAUAGUGAUGAUCUUAGAAUUUCCCUAAAAAACAAAUGAACGACUUGUGUAAGCGUGUAAUGCAUUAGCACAUACUUAGCUGUGGUCAGCACCGCCAUUUAACAUGGGCCUUUUUAGUCAGCCAUGUUGCUUACGUGUUGUUAGUCGAUCAGCAAGGACUUCCGUGUGCUAGACACAGAGCUGAGCACUAGACUAGAGAUUCUCUGUUUUCGGUAAUCUCAGCACUGCGCGGUGAUCUCACUAUUACUGUCUGGCUUGGUGAUGCCAGGUAAAGGUAGGAUGCUCUGCCAGCACCGAGAAGGGGUCUUGUUUUAAGAUGGCUGAUCAGCCUGGUGCAGCCUUAUGUCCUUUGUGAUUGUAAGUACAAUGAAGGACCUUGAGGAACAGUUAACUGCCCCUCUAACAGCCUCGCUUCAUGUUGUAGUGAAAGUAAAUUCAGCCACGAAGCUGAGAACUCAUUAAAUAAACACCCAUUCAGAAGUAGAUUAAUGCAACCUAUUUUCAGACUUUGCAGUGCCUCGGCUCUGAGAUUCAGAUAUCUGACUACCAUUAGAAAAGGGGCGCCACCACAAAAGCAGGGGUCCGUUACUCUUCUAAUCCACUUCAUCUGAAGAAGCUUCUGGCCAAGGUGUGGUAGCAUCUUUAAUGCCAGCACUCAAGAGGCAGAGGCAGAUGGGUCUUUAUGAGUUCGAGUCUAACCUGGUCUAUAUAGUGAGUUUCAGACCAGUCCAGGAUGCAUUGUGUCAAAGUGAGAAAAAAAAAAAAAACAAACUUCCCAAACCAUGGCUGGGUACACAUGGCCCUUGGCGUCAUUUUUUUUUCUUCCUUUUAGUGAUUUAUUUUGAUAAAAGUUGUCAAGUUGUACACUUAUUCCUUCCCCAUGCAAGAGUGGGUACAACUUCUCAAGUAUCCUUCCUUACCUACAGAUCUUGAACAGAUUUUAUUUUAUCAGUGAGAGCCUAUUUCCAGUAUUUACUGUAUUAAUUAACAAGCCAUUAAUUUUUAGCAGUUAAGACUCUUUUGGAAGCUGCAGUCGGGAAUUCACAUUAAAUGGCCACUCCUGGGGUGUGAGCUCUUCCUUAGAGCCAGUCACCACCUGAGUUGAAGCCUAGGUGUACCAGCACACCUCUUUACCACAUCAUAUGUGUGGUGUGGGUGCCUAUCCCAGGAUGGCAGGGAAGGUUUCCCAGAGGAAAGAGAGCUUGAUCUGGCCUGAAAUAAUAGGGGAUAUGUCCCAGGAAGACCUGAGUCAGCAAGGCUGGGUGCGGGGGUGGGAGCAGGCUGUAUAUGUCUUAAAUACAAAAGCACAAGAAGGUCUGGGGGAGACUGUGGGGGUCCAGGUCACAGAGCCCCCGUCUGUGGCGGCUUCUUAGUGAAGGAAAGGAAUUUCCACCCAUGGUCUGUUGAAAGGCAGAACAGCAUGGUUGUCAGGGUAGAAAAAUGCCCUAACCUGAGGCUGUACGAGUGAAAUCUCCCCACCCCUUGGAAACUCUCUAAUGUCCCCCAAGUCUCAGUUAUUUGUCAUUUGAGCACAUAGCACCUGAACUUACCUGUUAAGGAAUGUCACUCAUCAGACUGCGUGCCUCCUGAGGGUAGGACUGACUUUGUGUCUGAUCUUACAAGGAUAAGGACCGAGCAGGCACUCGAUUGUUGUCCAAACUGUGGUCAAAUAAACGAGAGGUCUGUGGAAGAGAUCCCUCAGGGUAUGGGUUGUACGUAGAAAAUGAGUGGGGGAAGGAAGUGUGUGGCCCUGACAACCAGAGGAAGAAGAGCCAAACAUUGUUGCUAGCCGAGGCUCCUGUCUCCAGAAUAAUCUACAGUAUACGAAGGGAAGGUUCUCUGAGGAGCAGUGUGAAACUUAACGUGUGGGCAUGUGUGUGUGUAGGCAUGUGUGUGUAGACAUGCAUGUGGGCAUGCGUGUAGGUAUGUAUGUGUGUGUGUGUGCAUGUGUGUGUCCAUUACAUACAUCCUCGUUGGUCCUUGACUAUAGUCCCUCUCCCAAAGAUCCUCUGUCAGAUGAAAAUGGCCAUCAUGUCUGGCAAACAGUGGCUGACAAAGUGACAUGUGUAAGAGACACAAAGGAAGAAGCUGAAUGUAUCUGCUGCAGAGUCUCUUAAACUCUGUGACUGAAGGGCGUACUCAUGGACUCCCCAUUAGACCUGCCGAGAGUCGGUUCAGUCAGGAGGAGGGAGGAGCAAUGCUUUUUAUCCUGGUCUCCUGCGUUGGAACUCCUGCUCUCCAGACACUGCCGACCGGCUGCCAGCUCACCUGCUCCCUGAUAUACCCUUUAAAAACACCUUUAUUGAUUUCUCAGUGUGUUUAGGGUUUUUGUUUUGUCUUAGCUUUAAAUUUUUUUUUCAAGAAGCAUGCUUUGUGUUGCUUUUGGGCUUACUGUUUGUAUCUUUGCUUUUCUGGUUCAGUUUCUGAUUUAAACCAGCUAAUUCCAGUUGUAUCGGUCAGGUUUGUUAUACGUGCUGUGUGCAUUGCGUGCGUGUCAUACCCUUUAGAAUUGGUUGUGAGAAGAUGUGAAAACAGGCAUUUAUUUAGUAUUUUACGGUUACACAGUUACCUUUCCCGGUUCUCCUUGUUUACGUGCAUUUGAAAUUUCUAAAAUGAUUUUCACUCUGAAGAGCCCGCUUAGCCCCUCUUGUCAGAGACGUAGGCAGGCGUGGGCAUUAGUACUGAGUACCUUGUGGGGAUCAGAGAACGGCUAACCUCCAGGAGUUGGUUCUCUCCUUCCACCCUGGGUUCCAGAUCCACUCAGGAGGUCGGGACCUUGAGACAACACUCUAACGGCCGAGCCACGUCUGCAGGCCUCCGAGGUUUCGAUUGAUCUAGGAAAGCCCUUACUUCACAUCCACUUUUAGAAGACAGCUUUGCUAGAUGUAGGCAUCUCAGCUGCUAGGUGUUUUUUUGAAGGUUUUGAAUGUUACCUCCCGGGCUCCUGGCCACCAUUGUUGCUGCCGUCAAUCUUAGGGCUCAUCCCAUUUACCCCCUAGAAAUGACUAGUGCUUUCCACUUUGUCUUUUACUUUCCAAGCUUGUGGCUCCGUUUUAUCGUUUUAUGGUAUCGUUCAUUCAUAUCCUGCUCAGAGUCCAUUGAGCUGACUGAAUGUGAACAUUACUACUUUUCAGUGAACUUGGAAAUUCUGAGGGUUAACUCCCAAGUUUUCACUUAGCUUCUGUAUAUAUGUUUCUUUGUUGGCGUUCUCCACGGGCCAUGGCAGGCAUCACACCGUCCUGUGUUUUCUUAUCUCCUGCUCCCCUGACGUCAUGAGCACAUAUAUCCGGACUGCUUUGAAGCUGGAUGUGAGAUCUGGGGCCCAGCUCCUCUUGUGUUUGGUUGCAGCCGUUUCUUUGGUUAAUGCUUUCCUAUGUGUGCACACCUUGUGGUUUGUAGUGGGAUCUGAACAUUUGAGAAUGGUGUACUUGCCCAUCUGCCCCCGGGGCUCACUACUAUUUUAUUAUGUUCUGGUGAUGGGUUGGGAUAAUUUAGUAAAGCUUAUUUUCCUCCACUGUUAAUGGCGUGACUUACUCUCCCAGAAAGGUAGCCAGACGCAGCUGUGUCUUUCUACAGUGUCACAAUGUAUCAAAUAGCACUAACUUCACAGCCUACAUUUCAUUUGCUAAGUAGUUUUGAUUUCUCUUUUUAGCCAGCUGUUGGUAAAGCCAGACUUUUACAUUUCCAUCUUAAUUAUUAAUAUUAACGGUCAGGUCUGUAUUCAACAUCACAUGAUUGGCAGAUGUGUGCCUCACAGAAUGGCUACAGACGAAUCAAAGAGACCAAGAGGCUUGAAUGGAAAUAGAGGUGGAGAGCCAGUGCAGACCCACACAGGGCUACAGAGCAGGCUGCAGGGGAAGAGCUAAGCUGAGGCCCCAGGACAGUUGGGAGUUCUCUGUCCUGUUGGCGAAUUCCUUACCUUACACACUGGGUGGUCAAAUGGCAGGUAAGGGGGUCCAUCACUGUCAGUGUUAGAUGUGGGGUCUGUAAAGGAGAGCGCACUAGAAACAUCAAACUAGGCUGUUCUGUGGAUAGAAAGAAAUGUUUAUUUGGGGGAAAUCAAACUGCCGUGGCUAUCUCCAGUGGAGGGGAGCAGGCAGAGAAUAGCAAAAGGCAGGGAAAGCGUUGCCAGUUUUAAAGAGACAGGUGAUGGGAGGGAGCCUGUAGUGGAACAGGCUGUGAGUUAGAGUAGCGGGCAGGAGGGGUGGCCGGCCAGAAGAGCCAGGGCACUAGCAUGGGGACUUUGGUCUGUUAAAGGUUUAUAUAGUGAUGGGGAUGCCCUAUGCCUGUAGGGGUGGAUGAGGGAAGAAAAGGUUUUUCCACGCAAACAGAAACCCACUUGGCAAGGUUCCUGAGGAAUGCCAAGUGCAAGCUUUAGUUUAUCCUGUUUACCUGGUCAGGGUCCAGCCUGAGCUCAGCCCAGGCUGGCUUUUAGGGCAUUGCUAAGGCACUGCCAUCUAGGGAGCCUGCUUUGGACCUAAGAGUCCAGGUGAGGACGUUAUGCCCUUUGUUGUCCUGGCGUGCUUGGUAUUUUAUUGGGCCUGACUUUCUGUUAUGUUCUUUGUACUUCCCCGUGCCCAGAUGUCCCCGUACAGUUAGGUGAGUUUAUAGGUAGUGCUUUUCUACUUUUGGGGAUGAGCUCUUAGCAGGCUGUGCCUCCUGUGAGGGCUUGGAAAAGUGGUGCUGUGCAUGUGUAAGGAAGAGGUACCUGCCUCUGUCUGAGCUCAGAAUGGAGCUAAAUGCUGCUUUGUGAAAUCAAAUCCCCAGGAAGCCAGGCACAUCCUGAGCACAUGGUGCUACACACUGGGGGGUAACAGAGCAGGUAGACCCUGGUCUCCACGUUAAGCUUCUCAUACUGCUCCCUAAGGAGGUAGGAUACAGUCACCCCGGGAUAACCCUGGGGCUGUGGUGGUGCCUGACUUUCUGUUUAAUCUCUGGCCACACCAUGCCCAGCUGCUUUGUUGAAAAACAAUAACCCAGGAUGUAAAUUGUUCUUCGAACCCAGGGUGUCAACUCUGACUCUUCGUAGGUAACCAUUUCUGAAGUCUACGUUAUUGCUCUUCCUGCCACUAGAGUCGUCUUUCCCCUCCUCCUCUGUGAUGCACCACAUCUCAAGUCGCUCUCCUUUUACCUUCCACAACUCCUGUGGUCCUCAGAGCCUGGGCUCAGACAUCUCUAAGCUUGACCGCAAUGACGCAGCUCUCUUUAAAAGAGAGCAGAAACUGUCAGUGUACAAACCCACUUUUAUCCCUGGGAAAAGCUUAUACUCCCAAAUCUCUGGUGCUUUGGACAGGGACAGUGCAAAGCUUCUGUGUCACUCAUAAUCUAGGACUGGGGUGAUGCUGGGAGGAGGAGGCUGCGGCCUCUGGUCCAACUGUUAGAAAUAAUCUCAGGGGCCCAGAGAGGAGACCACCCCAACUGCAGUGUCUCUGUAAGGCAGAACAUUCCUUCUGAGCAGAAGGUGCUUGAUUCACACAAACAGAAGAGUGACUGGUUUUAUUCUAAGAGAGGUGGUGACUGUGCCCCUUCCCCAUUGGCUAGGGUCCAACCUCACAGUCAUUCACAAUUGGCUAGAUUGAUAGACAGACAGACAAACAGACAGAGAAAAAAGAUGAGGGGGUGGUGGGGCUCAAGAGUUGGAGGACAUUUAUUUAAUGUAUGUAGAUGUAUUGUCUGCAUGUAUGCCUUUAUACCAACCACAUCCAUACCUUGUGUCCUCAGAGGCUAAAUGAGGGCACCAGAUCCUCUGGAACUGGAGUUGAACAAUUGUGGACUGCCAUGGUCCCAGGUCCCCUGCAAGAACUGCCAUGUUCCUAACUAAUCAUCGACCCCCCACCCACCCACCCCGCAGUUGGCUAACUUUAAAAGAAUUUGGAGGGGGGGGGCAGAUUGUCACAAAAGAAAAGAAACUGGGAAAGGGAGGGAGGGGUUGGCCACUUAAGUUCCAAGAAUACAGCAGGGCCUCUACGUAAAACAAACGGUACAGAUAAGGGAGAUUAAAACAUUUGCAUGAAGGUUUUACAACUUGGGAGAAAAAAGAUUUGUACUUCUUGCCUUAAAUGAAAGUUUUGGAAUGUUUGACAGAAAGGAUUAAUACCCCAUGUCCAUUUUGCUUUCGGCUUGUCUCUUCUGGCAUAGAACUGCCCUACACGGCACAGACAUGGGAGAGGGCAGCACACAGCCUCACAGAUAGAAGUACUGCCAUCCUGUGAGCUCAGGGAACCCUCAGCACUCGGGCGAGCGCAUCUAGACUGAGCCCAGACAAUGGGAAGCAGGACAAAAUCUGCCUCUUCCACAGCAUCCUGGGGCUCUGAGAGGCAGUGUCUGCACUGGAGUCCUCUCUGCUGGGCUGUGAUGUUGGAGAGGAAGAGUCUUGGUUCAGACCCCAGACACUUGCUAUUGGCAUGGAUUCAUAGAUUUCUUUUUUCUUCAAAUAAUUGUUUUUUCUUUUGCCAUUCUUCACUUAGGUCUAUUUCUAGAACCUUUAUAUGAUGUUUUUGGUUUGGUUAGGUUUGAUUUUAACGCAUUUCCAGGUUUCGAUUGAGAACAGAAUGUGUGGAGCUCUUAGGGGUGGCAUGUGGGAAAUGAGCCACUCAUCUCUCCUGUCCUCCUUGGGAAGCCCUAACUAAGAGCUGUCUUUCUGAUGGUGGGCAUGUCCUCAACAGAAAACCAUUGUGUCUUUACAUUGUGUCAGCAAGUGAAUACUGAAUGCAAGGUGUAAUUGUUCAAUGAUGGCUUUAUUAUUAAAUCCAUCUACCUCGGUAGCCUGGCCAGUCUUAAUUACUAUUUAAUUAUUAACUCUCAAAUCACACAGUAUACAGUAUGUAUAUGUCUCGCUCCCAGUGUGUGUGUGUGUGUGUGUGUGUGUGUGUGUGUCUGUGUGUGUGUCUGUGUGUGUGUCUGUGUGUCUUGUAUGUGUUACAGAGUGAAUACAAAUUAAAGAUGCUCUCACAGAGUGAGGAGGCCGUAGCAGUGAGCUGAGGAAGUCUGGAUAGAUACAAACUAUCAAUCCAGUGCUGAGAGGCAGCCGCUGGAGUCAGGUUCCAGAGCAAAGCUGCAGAGUGUGAUUGCAAAGGGAACAGGCCACGCUAGGCGAGGUCCAGAUGGGCACAUAGGUGGGCAAACGCUGGGGAGUAGGCUGCAUUAACAAUGGGGACCAGUCGAAUCUAGGAACCCUGGGUCCUUAAUGCACACACCUGGGAUUAGAGGAUCCAUUGGGAUUGGGGCCAUGGUAUUAUACUUUUAGGCAUCCAUAGAUUUAUGGGUACAGGUGAGGGAAUUAUACAUUUUCCUCAAUCUGGUGACUCCAAUAAAUUCUCGAGCCUGGUCUUCUCAAGAGAAUUUCAGUAUGUUCAUGUGCCCCCACAAUUUCAAUUCAUAUUCAUUCAUUCUCUCUCUAUUUUUAUAUUUACAAUUAUUUUAAUUUUAUUUAAUCUUUUUAAAUUAUUUAUUUAUUUAUUUUUACACUCCAGAGUUAUUCCCCUCCCAGUCCACCCCCAACUGAUCCACAUCCCAUACCUCCUCCCCAACCCUGUCUCCACAAGGAUGUCCCCACCCCACCCCACUCACCCC
Rattus norvegicus (Norway rat) is the source of this 9070-nucleotide non-coding RNA. NCBI's taxonomy places the organism in Eukaryota, Metazoa, Chordata, Mammalia, Rodentia, Muridae. The record is from RefSeq and is a predicted model, not a curated record.